GAAUACUGAGGUUUUGAUGAGAAAAAUGGCUGUGAGUUUUGAAAUGUCUUUGAGAAUUUCUUGGAUUUGUUGCCUGUUAAUUGGAGGGAUAACCUGUUAUCCUCCACCUAAAGGUAACUAUAGAUAUAUUCCCCAAAU
Non-coding RNA from Salmo salar (Atlantic salmon), 138 nucleotides. Lineage: Eukaryota; Metazoa; Chordata; Actinopteri; Salmoniformes; Salmonidae. The record is from RefSeq and is a predicted model, not a curated record.